This is a non-coding RNA of Lonchura striata (white-rumped munia), 234 nucleotides long. The record is from RefSeq and is a predicted model, not a curated record. Lineage: Eukaryota; Metazoa; Chordata; Aves; Passeriformes; Estrildidae.
ACUUCCUCCUCUGAUAUGAGACUUUUCUCAUCACUGUGGCAUUUCCCUGGUGAGGAUACCCCUAAGGUGCUGCCAUUUAUCAGGCAUCUCCCUCCUCUUCUUCACAAACAAUGCCUCUCAGUGUCACCUAUGCAGCAAAUAUAUCACUACGUACCAGCCUUUUGAUGGGAUCAGAGGAAAGAGAAACAAGACCACAAACAUUGACCAGACAAAAUAACCAUCUAGAAAUUUCUU